UACGUAGGCGGAAAAUUAAGUCAGUAGUGAAAUCCUGCAGCUUAACUGUAGAACUGUCAUUGAUACUGUUAUUCUUGAGUAUAGUUGAGGUGGGCGGAAUGUGUAAUGUAGCGGUGAAAUGCAUAGAUAUUACACAGAACACCGAUUGCGAAGGCAGCUCACUAAACUAUUACUGACGCUCAGGCACGAAAGCGUGGGGAGCGAACAGGAUUAGAUACCCUGGUAGUCC
RNAcentral lists this ribosomal RNA (229 nucleotides) under uncultured bacterium. RNAcentral's name for it is "partial 16S ribosomal RNA". It matches the Rfam family "Bacterial small subunit ribosomal RNA", at positions 568 to 796 of the family's 1533-position model. The record is from RNAcentral.